Chrysochloris asiatica (Cape golden mole) is the source of this 333-nucleotide non-coding RNA. The record is from the annotation of a RefSeq genome assembly. NCBI's taxonomy places the organism in Eukaryota, Metazoa, Chordata, Mammalia, Afrosoricida, Chrysochloridae.
AUGGAUAUUGGAGAUAGAGAUAUUAGUAGAAACGGACAUAUAAGAGCCAGCUCAGCUGUAAACAGUCACAGUUUACAAUGGUAUCAACAGAAGCCAGGAGCCAGUCCAAAUCUCCUUAUUUAUCAAACAUCCAACCUGGCCUCUGGGACCCCUGGCCGGUUCAGGGGCAGUGGCUCGGGUACAGAUUACUCUCUGACCAUCAGCAGCAUCCAGGCAGAAGAUGCUGCAAGCUACUACUGUAAGGCUUGGAACAGACCUUCACCCACAGUGUUAGAGACUGGAACAAAAACCUCCUUCACCCCUGAUGGCACAACUGUUCCCCCCUUAGAAACC